RNAcentral lists this transfer RNA (84 nucleotides) under Chloroflexota bacterium. Its description in RNAcentral is "tRNA-Leu". It matches the Rfam family "tRNA". Rfam says of the family: Transfer RNA (tRNA) molecules are approximately 80 nucleotides in length. Their secondary structure includes four short double-helical elements and three loops (D, anti-codon, and T loops). Further hydrogen bonds mediate the characteristic L-shaped molecular structure. tRNAs have two regions of fundamental functional importance: the anti-codon, which is responsible for specific mRNA codon recognition, and the 3' end, to which the tRNAs corresponding amino acid is attached (by aminoacyl-tRNA synthetases). tRNAs cope with the degeneracy of the genetic code in two manners: having more than one tRNA (with a specific anti-codon) for a particular amino acid; and 'wobble' base-pairing, i.e. permitting non-standard base-pairing at the 3rd anti-codon position. Lineage: Bacteria; Bacillati; Chloroflexota. The record is from RNAcentral.
GCCGAGGUGGCGGAAUUGGCAGACGCGCUAGCUUGAGGUGCUAGUGGGCGCAAGCUCGUAAGGGUUCGAGUCCCUUCCCCGGCA